RNAcentral lists this ribosomal RNA (460 nucleotides) under uncultured bacterium. RNAcentral's name for it is "partial 16S ribosomal RNA". It matches the Rfam family "Bacterial small subunit ribosomal RNA", at positions 338 to 795 of the family's 1533-position model. The record is from RNAcentral.
CCUACGGGAGGCAGCAGUGAGGAAUAUUGGUCAAUGGACGAGAGUCUGAACCAGCCAAGUAGCGUGAAGGAUGACUGCCCUAUGGGUUGUAAACUUCUUUUAUAUGGGAAUAAAAUGUUCCACGUGUGGGAUUUUGUAUGUACCAUAUGAAUAAGGAUCGGCUAACUCCGUGCCAGCAGCCGCGGUAAUACGGAGGAUCCGAGCGUUAUCCGGAUUUAUUGGGUUUAAAGGGAGCGUAGGUGGAUUGGUAAGUCAGUUGUGAAAGUUUGCGGCUCAACCGUAAAAUUGCAGUUGAAACUGGCAGUCUUGAGUACAGUAGAGGUGGGCGGAAUUCGUUGUGUAGCGGUGAAAUGCUUAGAUAUCACGAAGAACUCCGAUUGCGAAGGCAGUUCACUGGACUGCAACUGACACUGAGGCUCGAAAGUGUGGGUAUCAAACAGGAUUAGAUACCCGAGUAGUC